Molecule: ribosomal RNA, 426 nt
Filed under: uncultured bacterium
Lineage: Bacteria
Description: partial 16S ribosomal RNA
Rfam family: Bacterial small subunit ribosomal RNA
Source: RNAcentral
UGGGGAAUUUUGGACAAUGGGCGCAAGCCUGAUCCAGCAAUGCCGCGUGCAGGAUGAAGGCCUUCGGGUUGUAAACUGCUUUUGUACGGAACGAAAAGGCUCUGGCUAAUACCUGGGGCACAUGACGGUACCGUAAGAAUAAGCACCGGCUAACUACGUGCCAGCAGCCGCGGUAAUACGUAGGGUGCGAGCGUUAAUCGGAAUUACUGGGCGUAAAGCGUGCGCAGGCGGUUUUGUAAGACAGAGGUGAAAUCCCCGGGCUCAACCUGGGAACUGCCUUUGUGACUGCAAGGCUGGAGUGCGGCAGAGGGGGAUGGAAUUCCGCGUGUAGCAGUGAAAUGCGUAGAUAUGCGGAGGAACACCGAUGGCGAAGGCAAUCCCCUGGGCCUGCACUGACGCUCAUGCACGAAAGCGUGGGGAGCAAAC